Molecule: ribosomal RNA, 494 nt
Filed under: uncultured bacterium
Lineage: Bacteria
Description: partial 16S ribosomal RNA
Rfam family: Bacterial small subunit ribosomal RNA
Source: RNAcentral
GACGAACGCUGGCGGCGUGCUUAACACAUGCAAGUCGAACGGUGAAGCGCCUUCCUUUUUGGUGGGUGUGGAUGAGUGGCGAACGGGUGAGUAACACGUGAGUAACCUGCCCCCUUCUUCUGGAUAACCGCAUGAAAGUGUGGCUAAUACGGGAUAUUCUGGGUCUGUCGCAUGAUGGGUCUGGGAAAGAUAUUGUUUCGGUGGGGGAUGGGCUCGCGGCCUAUCAGCUUGUUGGUGGGGUGAUGGCCUACCAAGGCGGUGACGGGUAGCCGGCCUGAGAGGGUGGACGGUAACACGGGGACUGAGACACGGCCCAGACUCCUACGGGAGGCAGCAGUGGGGAAUAUUGCACAAUGGGCGCAAGCCUGAUGCAGCGACGCCGCGUGAGGGAUGGAGGCCUUCGGGUUGUGAACCUCUUUCGCCAGUGAAGCAGGCCUGCCUCGUUUGUGGGUGGGUUGACGGUAGCUGGAUAAGAAGCGCCGGCUAACUACGUG